This 18859-nucleotide long non-coding RNA is filed under the name Sorghum bicolor (sorghum). RNAcentral describes it as "long non-coding RNA (SBIC_LNC001924)". The record is from RNAcentral. Lineage: Eukaryota; Viridiplantae; Streptophyta; Magnoliopsida; Poales; Poaceae.
AUGAGGGAUUGAGGGGCAACGAUGGGUUGGAGCUGUUGGGGCGGCACGGCGUGCGACGUGGGAGUUGUGCGUCAGCAAGGGCGAGGGGCAGGGCGAGGAGCAGUCGGCAUCGGCAAGGGCGAGGGCGAGGGUGACGGCGGAUGGUGACGACACAGGGACAUCGAUCCACCUCCGCCGCAAAGAUGCCGCGCGCCGAAGCAGGGCGAGGAGUAGCCGUCGCCGGCGGUGGCGAGGGCGCAGGGGCGGUGGUUCCUUAGAGCAAGAUGAGCUGCGGAGCUGGGCGUCAUGUGCGGGCCGCGGCGGCGUGCGUGGGCGGAGGUUCUCGAGCGGAGCAAGGGCUGCAGUUCCCGUUUUUUUAGAUCUGAGAGGGGGGCGACCGAGGGGUGCAGGGGGGCGGGGGCGAUACCGCGGGAGGGGGGCGAUAACUGCUCGGAGACGAUGACCUUCGGGUCUUUUUAGUUGUAGAGAUAAGAAGGGAGUGAUAUUACGAGUGUGUUUGGUUGACCUACAAACCUAACAUUUUGCUUGGAUGGGCCAGAUUUGGUCUAUUUGAUUGUCUGGUCAGCCUCUAGAGCCAGGCUCCAUUUGGCCUUGAGUACAGCCUUAGUCCGAUCCAGAUUCUCUAACUUUGUGAACAAAAGUCACAGGUGACUUUCUUGCUGUUGGAUGCCAUUCAUUUAGAAUCCAACGGUGGCUGUCCAUCUUAGUUCUUUCACUGCAGGGCUGUCCAGCCCAAACUUGAAACCAGCCCAAAUAAAACCCACUUCGUGGCCAGGGGAAACCUACAGAGUUUCAGUAUACUGUUAUUUUAGUGCAGAAUUAAAAUAGGAUUCACUUGAAUAUUUUGAAUAGUUUCAUGGUAAUAAAUAACUUCCAUCAAUAGUCAUCACUACAACAUAUAAAUGUGUACAGUUAGCCAAGAAACUAUGAAGGCUAAAAGAACCAAAAUAAUCUCCAUUCAAGCAAUCCAUUAGCACAAAGGUGCUGAACAAUCAUCCCAAAAGACAGAAAUAUUCCAUAUGUGAUAGCAGCUAAUAAAUCAAAGAUCUAAAAAAAGAUCUUGAACAGCCGGGUCAGCUGCAAAACCAAAUGAGCAGUUAGAAAAGAGAAGACAAAUAUUGACACUAGCUCUUCAAAAUUUAAGACGAGCAAUAUUAAAAGCACCAUUAUCAAAUCUGUGAAGCCGGUGAAUGCAAAGGAAUUUUGGUCCUGAUGAACACUAUCCGAUAACACUUGAGUUUGUGCAUCACCAUCAUUGGCUUCAUGCUGCAUGAAACAUAUAAUCUUGUGUUUAGCAAGCAAAAGCAGUAAAUUUCGACACCUAUUGCAAGUUUUCAGCAACAUACAUUACAAUUAUCUGGCGCUUUCUUUCUGUACUUUCUUGUCUUGUCAAGCCAACUUCUAUGACGCUUUGAACUUCUUGGUUGAACCUCUUUUUUCUUUAAGCGUGCAUCACUAAGCAAUUCUUCAUCUUGUUGAAUGUUAGGCUGGGCAUUAUACGUAUCACACAAGAUACGUGUAGGUGCACUGAAUUUGUCAUGUAGUUGUUUACUAAGGCAAUCAAGUGCAUUGUCUACCAAAAUGCAACAUUCUGGAUCGCUUGCAGCUGGAUAUGCCAAAUUCAAAAAAAAUUUAGACAUAACCUUGUAGCGAAGCAUAGCAUCUAACUUUGGGUCUUCAAUAAUGCUCUUCCCUGUGUUGUCUUGGAUAGUUCCAUACUUUGCUUCCCUUGUCCAACGCUUCAGCACAUAAUGAUUAGGCAAGAACUUGAUGUUCAUCAAGUCAAGAAUUUUCAAAGCAUGGCUACAUAAUACACCGGUUCUUGCAAACUGCCCACAAUUACAAGAAGCUGUUUGCUCCAAGGGAUCACCAACAACUACACGUUCUAUUUCAGAACUGAAAUCACCAUCAGACCUUACAAUUGCAAUAGCAUAUGUGUUAUUUUCUUCCAAUGCUCUAGUACAAGCAGCCAUGGAUCUUUCAUAUUCAGUUUGGAAUGCUUCAAAUAUUGGUGGAGUGUAAAGUCCACUAGUUUGCACUAACAUAGGUGUCCUCAUUCUUAAUCUAGGUAGCUUUUUCUGGCUUCAAAUUCUUCUUCUAAUUCCUUGUUUCUUUUUCCUUGCACCGCCCUCUCAAAAUGCUUUAGGAACCUGAUGAUGUCAAAAUCUGAUUUGAGAUGGUCUUUUAAAUACCUCCUGAAUAGCAUUUCCCAUUGCUGUAUCUUGGUCAGUAAAUAUAGUUCUAGGUUGCUUUUCAUUGUGUGCAGUUAGAAAUGCCUUAAAUAACCAUGUAAAAGAGGCACAUGUUUCAUCAAAUAGAAGGGCGGCUCCAAAAAUGACAGUCUCCCUAAACUGAUUGAAGCCAACAAAAACACCAAAAGGCAUGUAUUCUUUGUUUGUGCCAAAAGUAGUGUCGAAUGUCACCACAUCACCAAAAUGAGCAUAAUCAACUAACAUCUUGGCAUCAGCCCAAAAUAUAUUGGUUUUGUGUUCUUCCGCAUCCAAUUGAACAGCAUAGUGGAAAGAAGGGUUCUCACACAUCUUGUCUUGGAAAUACUUUACAUGCUUCCUGCCUACCAUAUGCCGACUCCCUCUGGUGCCUACCCUACAAGUAAUUUUUGUGAUCCCGACAAGUGUAGCUAAGAUUUAUUCGUCCUCCAACUUGGCGACUAGCCAACUCAUGUGCCGCUUUCGGUCUAAUUCCAGAAUCAUCAGCUGCCUCAAUUUCAAAUGCUUGCACUUCUGAAAUUUUCCUCUGUGACGUCAUUAAAUGAGAGGUUUGUGGCAAGUGAAGCCCAUGGUUGUGUUGAAGAAUCAGAUCAAGUACUUCAUAAUUCCCUGUCACUCGAUCUAAUGUAAUACCCAUACGAACCGGACAACAUGUUCUUGUUUCAGCUCGAGGAUUUUUUGUCACAUGAUCUCUCCUGUCUCGUGCUCGACAGCCUUCCUUGGCACACACAUAUCUACACGAAGUUAAUCUUUUAUCAGAUUUGCUUUCAUUUGAAUACCGUUUUCUCUGACCUCAAAACCUGCAUGACCCCCGUAAUCUACCCAAAAUGACCAAGCAUCAUCCAAGUUUCUAAAUUUCUGACCAAUAUGAGGUACCCAAAUUGGAGUUGCAUUCUCUCUGUAUACAAAUACAUGGUCAUUGGCUCAUUGCUACACGUCUAGAAGCAAAGAGGAAAAAAUUGAAUGCAACCAUUACUUACUUGUUGGGUUCUGCCAUUAGUAUCACAGGAAGGAAGAACAAAAUGAGAAGCCGAUCAUCAACCAGUUCGCAACUUCACGGCAAGCGCGUCAAUCACCACUUCGCCAAUCGCGGCACCCUCACAUGGUAGCUUCACGAGGAUGUCGCUCCAUGGCGUGAUGAUUCCGGCUGGCGCGACAAGCGGAGUAGACGCAAGGGCAAAGGCGAGCGCGACCUGGCGGCGGCGGCGGCAACGCAGACGCGGCAAAAACCUUCGCUCGAUGAUUUUUGGCGCCUAAAGCAGUCACUGAGCGGCAAAAUAGGUUCCCUCAGCCACAACAUGGGCCUUACUUGGACUGCUUUCUAUGUUUGGGCUGGGCAGGCUGAGAGUGGGAAAGCUGAGAUGCGCAGUCAUCGUUGGAUCGCAAAUGGACGGCAUCAGGUAUAGAGAAAGUCACCUGUGACUUUUCUGAAGGAAGUCAGAGAAUCUGGAUUGGCCUUAGUCAAGCCCAACUAGAAACACCAACCUGGAGCCAGACUCCAACUCCUUCUCCCCCGCCAGUGAUCCCCUAUCAGCGGCGAUGCUUCUCCUUCUCCCCCUUGGCGCUCCUCCUCCUUCUCUCCCGCUGAUGUUCCUCCUCCUCCCUCGUUGGCGCUCCUCCUCCUUUCUCUCGUUGAUGCUCCUCCCCUUCUCCCACCGUCGCCAUCACCGGGAAGGCGCGUGUGGCAUGGUCGACCACGGCCAAAAUGAAGUGUGUUUUGUGCCGCUCCUGUCCUCCUUUGUGAUGCGGCCCUUCUCCAGCUUCUCUUGGACCUGACAUGGCGCCACCGGCGAAGUGGUGCGCGAUAGUGCCACCGGCCAAGUCACCCGACAUGAAGACCCGACCGAGAUCCAUGGCCUCGGCAUCCCACUGGUCCCCGCUGGUCUACUUCGCUUGCGAAACAAACCGCAUGACCAACAUCGCGACAUCGUUGAUGGUGGUGGUGAGGACUGUAACGUCAUCGAGGCCCACGAGCGGCAUGACAAACUGCGGUUUUGACCAUGGCUUGUUCCCUCUGCUCUCUUUGCCCGUCUUAAGGUGUUCGAUGAAUUGCUUUAAAGAAGUAAAGUUACCUGUACAAAAAAAGAGGUGCCUCUAUCUAAGCUAAAUCAGCUAACCAAACAAAUUAGUUAUUAGCUAGGCUUAGGUAGUGUAGGCAACCAAAUAAGUUUAUCUUAACUUGUUGGAGAUAGACUUAAAUUAGGUUGGUAGAAAUUGGUUAUGAAACCAAACACACUCUAUUAGAUUGGAGAGGAUCCUAGGACCGAUUUUUUUUAAAAUUACCGCAACAGUAACUGGUGCUGACGUGAGGUGGCCUGAGUGUGGGGUUUUUACUCUUAUAUAUAUAUAUUAAUUAAGAGCGCUAAGCUCGGCAGGAGAACGGCCAUCCCACGUGUCCUAUACGACGUCCGAGACCGGUGAGCGCAAAAAAAAGCAGCGCUCUUCCCUGCGUGGGUUGCCUCUGUGUGGUUCAUACAUCAGCGGCGCGUGCCGUCAUCUGGUUGGCCCGACCCGUUUCUCGUUCGCUCCGGCCGUCGUCGUCUCGGGCCUUGUUUCCAAAAUUUUUUGCAAAACAGGUGUAGCACUUUCGUUUGUAUUUGACAAAUAUUGUCCAAUCAUGCACUAACUAGACUCAAAAGAUUUGUCUCAUCAAUUUCGACCAAACUAUGCAAUUAGUUUUUAUUUUCGUCUAUAUUUAAUACUCUAUGCAUACGUUUAAAGAUUCGAUGUGACGAAAAAUCUGAAAAAUUUUAUAAAUUUUUUUGAAAAGUAAACAAGGCCUCGGUCAUUCUCUCUUCCUCUCCGCCUCUCUCUUUCUCUCUCCCUCCCUUCCUCCAGUUUUGGCAGCGCUCUGUAACUCCCUCCCUCCCUCCUCCCUCCAGAUCUACCGACGCAAUGGCUGACCCAUGCACAGCGGCACAGUGGAUCUAGCGGCUCCAGUGCCUCCAUAGACGUAUCUGUCCCUCCUCCCCUCGGGUAUGUGCACAGCGAAGCAGGCCAAAUUAAUAAGAACCUACGGAAGCGAGCAGCAAAAGCGCAUGUUCAGUCUAAUUAUGCCUUGUGUUAUUUAAAAUAAGGUCUUGUUUAGUUCCUUUUCAAAAAAAUUUCGGGACUUAUAGCAUUUUAUUUGUAUUUGAAAAUUAUUGUUUAAUUAUGGAUUAACUAGGCUCAACAGAUUUGUCUCGUAAAUUACAGAUAAAUUAUAUUAUUAGUUUUUAAUUUUGUCUACAUUUAAUGUCGUAUAUGUCUAAACAUUCGAUGCGAUGGCUUUGUAACUGUUCAGUUUAACUGUUAUUUAUUUAUUUAUUGAGACAUUAGCAAUAUUAGUUUUUGAUGGCGCCUCGUGUAGUUUCCGCGGGGCAAAUUUUGUUCGAACUGGGAUUAGAAAUAAUAGCAGCAUACAUACUCUACACAGUAAGCAGGCGAAAGAGCCUAGCACAAGCAAAAAAUCAACAGGAGCUCAAAUAAGUGAAGCAAAUCAGGCCUUGUUUAGUUCACUCUGAAAACCAAAAAGUUUUCAAGAUUCUCCGUCACAUCGAAUCUUGUGGCACAUGCAUGAAACAUUAAAUAUAGACGAAAACAAAAACUAAUUACACAGUUUAGCUGGAAAUCACGAGACGAAUCUUUUGAUCCUAGUUAGUCCAUGAUUGGAUAAUAUUUAUCACAAACAAACGAAAGUGCUACAGUUCCGAAAAGUUUUCACUUUUCGGAACUAAACAAGGCCUCAGAAGGAACGUGUGAGAGGAUGAAGCUCCUGUGACAAGAUGCAUGGAAAGCGAUCGAUGGAGGAGUCAGAGUUGGAAUGACAGUCACCAUAUUGAUCCGCCAUCGACACGGACAGUAUGACUGGGCGUCAGUAGUGUGAUUAUCGUCAUUCUCCUCUCUUUGGUCACUACCAAUGCAUGCAAGAGCAACACUUCAUUUCAUCAACCAGGCAAAAACAAAGGCAAGAAUUAACCCAGCGCGGAUAAGCAGAGGAAGCGCAGACUGCAGAGCACAGAAGGGACGGCUCCAAUUUUGUCAGAAGGGAGUGAUGAGCAAUAGCUGCUCAAGAAGAGGGAUAUACUAGGAGAAAACCAGGAACAAAAAAGGGUGGGCAUGCAGAGAGUCAUCAGAUCUGGACACUGUCAAUCAGCAGUACAUGAGUCAUAUGGUCAUGAUAAAUCAUCAUCACCAUCAUCGUCAGAACUGUCCUGCCCCAAACUCAAAAUUCAACAACAGCAACAAAGAGGAAGAAAAGAGCACAAGAUCGAUGACACCAAGAAAAUCGAGACAUGAUCGAGUAGGUGAAAAAUCAACAGCAACUAAUUUGACAAGGAGUUGUUUCUCCUAAAAGACCUGAACUUGAAUAAAGAAGCAGACCCUAAUGAAUGAACACUCUUGAUUCGUGUGAGGCGUAUAUAUGAGGAGUUGGGGGGGGGGGGGGGGGGGGGGCAUUUUAUUUCAUUAUUUCUCUAUGAGCGCACGGUCACGGUCACUUGGCAGAACUCUCUGGAAGGUUGAAAAGCGGCAGUCGGAAUCGUCACACUUCUAGAUGACACGUGCCCAUGCCCGUGCCCGCUCGAAGCAUCCGUAUACUACGGAUGAAUCUCCUCUGAAUUGAUACACGAUCCAAGAUAUCAAUCUCUUUUCGUCCCUCAAAAACUAGCCAAAAAUUUAGCAUGCAAAAAUUGACAAAUUUUUUUUUGACAUAGAUUUGGUAAGUCAAUAAAGCAAGUUUUAGUAGCAAACAAAUUACAGCCAAAAUUAUGACUUGUUAAAUCUUUCACUUGGCACAUAUUUGAAAGCCACGUCAAAUGUUACAAACAAAAUGUUAGUAUUUAUGCAUGUUCAAAGACUAUAUAAUAAUUUAAGAUCGACAGUGAGUUAAGCCAAAGAUUAUACGAUUUAAAGUAACAAUUAGUUAAGUUAUAUGCAUAUUCGGAUAUGAAAAUCGCAUCAAAUAGAUCGGAAUUCAAAAUACUUUAAAGAUGAUAUACUUUUUUUUUGUGAGGAACUUUAAAGAUGAUAUUGACUAGUAACAACAAACAAUGGCAAUUUCAGGGUCACAUGCAUGUAUACCGAACGUGUUUCAGGAACUUUUCUUGCGUAGGAAAGCGAUCAAUUAAAUUCGAAGUAGAGAUGACUUAUUGAUUUAUUUAUUAGAUCGUGUAUAGCUUAGUUAUUGAUUUAUUUGUAUUUAACAAGAAUAAAUCUAAAUAAAAUCUAUAACUAAGUUAUAUAUGAUCCAAUGAGUAUGAAAUUUUCAUUAUAGUUUAAACAUACAAUAAUUAACCUAUAAUAAAAAUUUUACCACAAUUGGAUCAUAGAAACUAGAGUUAUGAAUUAUUCUAUUUAAUUAUGAAAAAUGUAGAUCUAAAUCUAUAACAUAUUACAUGUUCACUAUGUAGACAUACUCUUGUGAAGUUCAAUAAAAUUAGAUUUUUUUUUAUUAUUUACUAUGAUUUUUCAAAGUUUCAGUUAGAAUAAAUAAAUAAAAACAAAACCGGCUUCAAAACCCCUUAUAACAAGAACAAGAAGGUAAGAUGAACCGUUUUAAAAAUUAUUGGAGAUGUUUUAUCUAGUUUUAGAGUUUAAGGAUAAAAAGUGAAUUUUCACGACAAUUAAGGGACGUGGACUUUUUCCAAAAUGUUGGCUUGUCGCCGAGCGCGUUUUGUCCUGUCUAGCCUUCGUCGUGCUGCUUCAUAUUGGGCCACGGGCUAGUUUUGGCGGAGAGUUGUUUGGGCUUCACUGCGAAUUUGCGAUGCUUCCUAUUAGGCCAUGGGCCAUGUUUCUCUGUUGCCUUGCUGUGGGGAAGUUCUGCCCUUAGCAGCCGGAGAACAGGAACAUAAUCAUGUUCCUAUUUUCAUGUUCCAUAUUGCGUUUCUAGAACACGAAUGUUCCCAUUCCCACAUUAUAAAAUAAUACCCCAAAUUUCCAUUCCCAUUCCAAAAACGGGAACAUGGCUGCUAUGGUUCUGCCGCUAUGCAUUUUUGCCUUUUUUUUUUUCUUCAAAAUACUCCAUUAACGCCAUGACACUGUCUCCUACUACUGUAUAAGAUGAAUGGAAAAAGUUGCAGAAAUGAAUAAUAAAAGGGUGUUGUUUAAAUCCUGACAAACUCCUGUGAACACCAUUAUUUCUAAACACGACUAAUUAUGACUAGUAGUAUAUUCAUUCUUCAACGAAAUUUACACGAAAAAAGGUAGCACCGUAUGUUCCUUACAUACAAGAACCACAAAAAGAAACCACCAUUACACUGAUUUUGCGUUACGUCACAUAUAGCCUUCUUCGGCGGCACCAGUGCUCGAUCAGGCGAAGCAUAUGAUCACGAAGAGGAUUUCUAAACUCUCAGCCGGAGUGCGAUCAGAGAUGCACCGACCAUGGCCACGCACACCCUUCUUCCCAGAAGCAUCACCGAGGAAGCUGCUGCAGAAGUCCUGCACCACCCAAACAGAAUUCAUCAGUCGCACGAAUCAUGGAUUACCACAAGCGAGAGGGCAUUUGCAUGCAAGGGACAAAAAUUUGCAGUGGGUCAGGUGGUUUCACUUACUCAGAUGCCAAGAACUUGCACGAUCCAAAACCUGCCAAGAACACGCAUCAGAUCAUUGGACAAUGCAUCAGAUCACUGGACAGGUGCCCAAAAACCAGCAGUGAUGGAUGGGGAUGGAAAUGCAUGUUUCGUACUUGGGUCCCGCUUGACGAGGGCUCCGGCGCCGCCGAAGUUGCAGGCGAUGUCGGAGUUGCCGUUCUGCUGGUAGAAGAUGUUGAAGGCGUAGGAGGCGUGGGUGAGGAGCGUGUUCGGCUGGUAGCACCGCCCGCCCGGCUGCAGCUGGGAGCAGUCGGCGCCGCCGGGGCCGCACGCCCAGUCCAGCGCGUUCUGGAGGUCCUCCUGGGUUGCGCCUGGCCGGGCCACGCACCACGUCACGCCGUCGAUGAACGUCAUGUUGCCCUCCGGUGGCGACAGUGUCGGGAUCGGCGUCACGGACUCUGCCUUUUCCUGUGGUGUGAAGCGUCCGGCGGCUGCAGAGGCUGAACACACAAGGAAGGGCAGAGUUAUGAUGAACUUAGAGAACAGAGACUAUGACUCUGUGAUCAAAUCAAACAGUCUGAAUAUUUACAGCUAAACAGGAUUUUUAUGGAUACGACCACUGAGGCAUUGACCAUAUAAAAAUGCUAAUUAUCAGAUCAUGCAUGUACAGUUUGCAUUGUCAGGUAAUAAUAAGCUACUGAUAGAUGUACAUGAACACACUCUGAAUCCUUAGCACAUGAGAAAUAUGACUGAAAAGAAGCAAGCAAAGAACAGGGUUGUAAUACCAGUAUGUUACCAACCUAUGAACCAACCAAGAAUCAGAACGCCGUGCAUGAUCAUCAGCUCCUUUCUCUUCAUGGCUGAAGCAGAAGUUACAGAACCGCAAGACUGUCCCUGCUUUUCACUCGGCCCUCCUUCCUCCCCCGUGUGUGUGAGUGCCUUAGGGAAUAUAACGGGAGUAUGAGUGAAGAGCAGAUGUAGUGACAGUAAAGCAGUCACUGUUCAUGGGAAAGGGCUGGAUUUCACUAGGGUCACUAAGCAAGACGUGCACACGGAAAGCACCCCCAGGGUGCUCGCUAUGGUGCAUAUUUAUGGCCACCACAGGGAGGUGGCAUGGAAAGUGGCACAAAGGGCCAUUGUGCAGAGAGAUGCAUUUUGCAUCUAACAGAGGACCAGUCUAUUGGAACAUCAGCCUAUUUGGUCUCAGUUUGACUAACAUGACUAUAAUUAACACAAUUUACUACUAGCAUUUUAUGCUUUUCCCAUUGAAUAAGAAGAAAUUAGAGAGCUUUACCAUACUUAAAAUGCAUGCAUGCAGAUGGUUUACUACGGUGGUAAUGCUGCUAUCAUCCCCCCCCCCCCCCCCCCACCAAAAAAAAAAAAAGGUGGUAGUACUGCAGUUCUUGCAGCAUGCCUGAAGCAAGGUAAGCUGUAAAGGACUAUAUCAGCAUCUCAGUUCUUAGAUUGUGCAACUAGUACAACGACCUUUAUGAAUACACUAUUAUAUUGAGGGGAAUGACUUGAAUGCCAGGAAACCAUGAGAUUCUUAUCCUGAUAUGCAUGCAUGGGCAUGAUUUCUGAAGGGACAAAAGGAAACGCAGGCAGCAGAUUCCAUGAGAUGUGAAGGGGCCAAGUGCAUGUUCUCAUUCCUUUUCUUUGUUGUUUCAUGGUAGCAUAGGUUGGAGCUUAAUGAGGAAGAGCUUUCCUUGUGUAUUAAGGGAAGAACCUUCACUUUCCAAAGACUGAAGCCUAAUGAAGGGGUUUCUGUGAACCAGAUUGCAAGGACCCAAGGAAAAAGCUAAGAAUUUUUUUCCUUGUGCUGCACUGGGGAACAAAACAGGAAUUCUGAAAUAGAAUGAUGAACGAUGAUGACAUGUCGGUGGUGCUGAAAAAAAUUCCAAAAAUAAUAUAAAGGACAGGGAAGUAGUUCAGUAAGGGAAAUAACCUUUACAAAGGCUGAAGCCUAAUGAAGGUGGUUCUGUGAACAGGAUUACAAGGGAAAAAUUAAAUCUUUUUUUCUGCCUGAGUUGCACCUCGAAUUAAACAGGCAUUCUGAAAACAUCAGUGGCAAUCUCAAUGAGCUGAAACAGCUGAAAUAAAGCAACAUCCAUUAAACAAGGUUAAAGAGGGUGUAUAUACUAAGCUAAACUUUGGUGCAUGGUGUCAUGAAGAAAGCAGUUAUAUUCUAGCCUUGCUCUCUAGAAGCUUUAGAAGGUUGUAAGGGACCCAUCAGUCUUGCAUUGAUGUGUAGCAAAAAGUUGCAAAAGCAUGGUCUGAUCAUUUCAUGCAGACCUACUAUCAGGAUUCAGAUCUGUAUCAAGCAGGUGGACACAUGCAAACAUUUAUGUUUAUUUAUUUAUCAAAGCAAGGGAAACUAGCGAGUACCUCUUUCGACCAGAGUCGAACUUAUUAUGACUGGAACAUAAUUUAUUGAAUGAAAUGAAUAAAACAGAAUCGAAAUUAUUAUUUGCUGUAUCAUCUACAAUUUUACAAGGUAGGGAAUUAUGAUAAAAAUACAGUUCUAACCUAGUUCUUGCUGUAUCUGAAAACAUCUUUCAUUUGAAAAAUUUAAGAGCUGGGAUGUGACAAUACAACCUAUAGAAUAUGAGGCUGUCUCAGCAUUGCCCCUCCAGUGUAACAGUCAACAGAAAUUGGAUGCCGGGGUUGAACCCAGAUAUGACUUUGCUACUCCUGAACUCAGCGCAACUUUUCUGAUCAUAGGACAGUCAAUCCAUACGCUGAUCAACUACCAAUAAUCUUUACAUGAACAAGAUCCACCUUUGAAAUGGUGAAACCUACUGCGGUCCCUCACAAUGAUCUCCCGAUCAUAAAUCUUUGAUAUUAGCUUAAUUGCAGUAUGACAGUCCCCACACACCCUCAAAUUCUUCACGAUCCUGAUAGGAGUACCAGGAAGAGACUUCAACAAGGCAAAUGCAAUGGCCAACCUCUCACUAUGGUAGUUCAAGGCAGUCUCUUUCUCUUCCUCCUCUAUAUCUGCCAACACAUUGCUUGUACGUGGGAUGUAACCUUCACGUCUCAAGCUAUCAGCUACCUCAGCAAGCAUUUGGUAUAUCUGUUCACUCUCAGGAUGAGACCUAUCACCCAUAACAAACUCAUACACAGAGUUGCGGAGCUCCACAAGGCUGCGCCCAGGGUUCUUCCUCACUCCAUCCUUCACCAUUGUUUUCCUAAGCACGUGAACGUCAGCCCAUCUCCCAACAGCAGCAUAAAGAUUUGAGAGGAGAACAUAGUCUCCACUAUGCCCUGGAUCAAGCUCAACCAGCCGUGCCCAAGCAGCCUCCCCAAGUUCCAACUUCUUGUGCAUUGCACACGCACCCAACAAGGUUCUCCACACGACGGCAUUUGGUUCCAGUGGCAUGGUGAGAAUAUAAUCAUAUGCUUCCUUGACUUUACCAGCUCUCCCUAAUAGAUCUACCAUGCAUCCCAAAUGCUCAAUCCUUGGUGCAAUGUUGUACUCCUCUUUCAUCCUAUUAAAAUACAUAAACCCAUCAUCAACCAGUCCACAGUGGCUGCAAGCAUACAGCACUCCUACCAUAGUGAUUUCAGUCGGCACAAGCUUCUCCCUCUCCAUUAUACCAAACAGCUCAAGUGCUUCCUUCCCAAAACCAUUCACUGCCAAGCCCACAAUCAACGACGUCCAUGAGACAACAGUUCGCCUAGCUCCCAUCUCCUCAAAGACCCUCCUUGCAUCCUCAACACCUCCACACUUGGCAUACAAAUCAAUUAGGGCGUUACCAACAUGUGAGUUUUCUACCAACCCAACCUUUGUCAGAUAAACAUGGACCCUCCUACCAAGAGCCAGUGCGCCAAUUUCAGCAGAUGCUGUCAGCACGCUCACCACAGUGAAUCCAUCCGGCAUGAAGUUCACGUCCAACAUCUCCCGGAAGAUGGUGAGAACCUCGUUGGGGCGUCCAUUGGCCGCGAACCCGUUGAGCAUCGAGUUCCAGGAGACGAGGUUGCGCUCACCGACGGGUAUUUCGUCGAACACCCUGUGCGCGCUCUCGAAGAGGCCGCAUGCACCAUAGAGGUGAACCAGCGAGUUCUUGACGAAGACGAGCGUGGCAAGGCCGUUCUUGGCGGCCUCGGCGUGGAUGCGCUCCCCGUGGCGGAGCGACAGGAGGCGCGCGCACGCCUGCAGGAGCGGCGGGUAGGUGUGCGUGUCCGGCGGCGCGAGGCGUCGGGCGUGGAGCGCGAGCGCGAGGGAAGGCCGCGAAGAGGACGCGGCGAUGCGGAGCACGGUGUUGAGGGAGAACGGGUCCGGGUCGGGGAGGACGCGGGUGAGCACCGCGACGGCGUAGCGGAGGGGAGGGGCGCGGAGGGAGGCGAGGUGGAAGAGGAGGUGCUUGGCGAGGAGCGGGUGCGCGGGCGGCACGCCCGCACGGAGGGCGCGCGCGUGCAGCUGCUUGACGGUGGCAAGGGAGGGCGCGGCGAGGUGGAGGCGGAGGAGCGCGACGCAGUGGCGCAGCGCCGGGUGCGUCGACGGCGUCCGGCCACCGGCGCCGUCAAGCAUGAGGCGCGCUCGGCUUCCGUGCGGUUUCGCCGUUUCGGAAGGAAAGGCGCGAUGAGCUGCUGCGUGUUCACGUAACACUGUCGCGGACGAUCCCAGUUGGUUGAUCAGUUUUUCAAAUCGGACCCUUUAUUUCUUUCGAACGAUUUUGAACUCUGAAAUUGGAGGCCGAAUUUUUUUUAAAAAAAAGUGCUCAUAAAUUCCUACAAGUCUAAAAACGAUAUUGUAUCACUUUCGUUUUUAUUUGACAAACAUUGUCUAAUCAAGGAGUAACUAAGCUUAAAAGAUUCGUCUCACGAUUUACAGUCAAACUGUGUAAUUAGUUUUUAUUUUUAUUUAUAUUUAAUGUUUUAUGCGUGUACCGCAAGAUUCGAUGUGACAGAUAAUCUUAAAAAAGAUUUUGGUUUUUUGGGUCAACCAAACAAGGCCUAAGUAAAGACAGAUUUUACCAGCACGGCGAACUUUGUCACGGGGUGACAGACUGACAGGGCAAACAAAAAAAACACCCAAAUAUAUUUGUGUAUAUUUGGCGCAGGUCCAGUUUGGUGUCCAGCAGCAAAUGAACAUUCAACAAAAUGAUAUAAGAUCUAUAACUGGCAUUGCUUGCGUUUUGGUAAUGCAAGUUUUAUUUCUAAAUUCUCAUGGACAUCAGAGAAUCAAACAAACAGCACCGUAUUGCUCCAGGGGAAAAAACCUGCACGGGUGCAAGUACCAGCAGAACAGGACACUGGUACUGCAACUACUUAACUGAAUAUAAAGGCAAUCAACCAAGAUCGAUAGACAGCCCACUCGAAAGUAUGAACUUCAUCAACAGCUUACAAUAAUAUAUGAGCAGUUCUGUUAAAUGGAAUCACAGAGCAUCAGGCAAACCGAUUCACAGUUAUCCUACACAACAACACAGCAUAGUCUACAGUAAACACACGCGCAUGGAUAGAAACGAAGACAAACUUAGAACCCGCUAAUAUCCACAGCAGCUACCAGAACCUACAAGUCCACACAUGUUCAGCAGACAAAUAGCUCGAGCAUAUGUACAUUUCACAUCAGAUUCCUAUCCUGAAACUCAGGUUCAGAGGGUUCACGUGGAAGCAUGGAAAUUCACCAGAAAUCCUGCAUGAACUUGAGUACUUGACGACAGGUGUGCAGAAUUUCUUCGGUCUUUUCCGACAGUCUAGAUUGCACAGCUAAACAGAUGGGGCUCUGGAGGUUUUGUGUGACUGAGCAUCCUCAAAUGCGUCCAAAUCUUCAAGUUUUUCAGGCUUCAAGCACGGAGGUAUGUAUGAGGUAUAGAUGGUUUCCAUGUUUGGAGUUUCCUUCAGGUCGUGCUGUGCCACCACCUCCAGAGGAGUCUUGGCAAAUGCUGGGUAAAAGCGCAUAUGGCAGACAUAGGCGAAGAUGAUGCUUAUUGGAAGCAGGGGCACAAGAACAGGUACAUAGUAAAACUUUUUCAGGGGGAUGAAGCCGAUCAUGGUAGUCUGGUAAACCAUCAGAGCUGUGAUGAUCCUCGUGUGCAUGUGUGGCCACAUUCGUCCGUAGCUCUCGUAGCUCGGAACAUAAACUCUCAGAAUCUGCAUCGGAAAAGGUGGAGAAAUCAAUCAUCAACUUCACCAAAGAACCAAUUAACAAAACGAGACCCUCUAGUGGAAGAAAAAUUCCCCAAAAUAGAAUAGAAAUUACAGUACUAACAAACCGAGUACCAAAGUGUGCAACACUGAAAAGCCGUACUCCUGUGAAACAAAAUGACCACUCACCUGAUUUUUUGCUAUAAGCCACCCAAGGGCAAAGUAUGCAACACCGAAUGGUAUAAUCAAAGGUGCAAUGACUGAGUAGCACAGAACAACUGUUGCAAUGAGCAUGUCAUUUGGGACCCUGGUGUUAUAUCCCAGAUCUCCUGGAGCCCAUGCUGCUUUCACAUCCUCCUCCGUCUUGCAUAGGUACUUCCUUUUCAGAUGGAAAAUGAUGAGGGGAACCAAGCGAGAGAGCUCAAGCCCAUAGCCAACAAAGAAUCUGUCAACAGUCAAAUAGUUAUGGUGUAAAGUUGCCGUCAAACUCAAAGAUGGUAAGAUUGAAAAUUUGGCAGUAGGUAACUGAAAAAGUGAGACAAAUGAAUUACUUCAGCGCAACAAAUGUGAGGAAGAACGUUGCACUUCCAGGCAGGCUAUUGGCAAGCAUAGUCACAAUCCCAGCAGGGUGAUCGAUAAUGGUUGUCAAAGACUUGAACAAUGUGCUUCCGAGUGUAUAACCAAGGAAGACAUUGAAAACAAUGAAAUAGAAAUAUUUUCCUGAUGCUGCCCUGACUGCAUGGCUCUGCGAAGGGAUCCCCUCUUGUUUUGAGAGAAACAUAAGAAGAGUAGGUAGCAAAGCCAGAAACACAAUGAGCACAAUCUGGGGAAGGUAAGCCUCCAAGACCGUCUUGAUUGCUGGUUUUUCCACCACUACCUUCAGGAAGGGCAGCUUCUUCUCCAGGUUUUCCAGAGUUGUAACAGCAGAGAUAGCAGCAAUAGGAACCAUAUAGAAAACAACAACCAGAAAGACAAUAGCAUAGACCACUGACUGUCUGAUUUGCCUCUCAUAUAGAUUCCUCGGAAGGUUGGGCCAUAGUAUCUGACAUGGUUCAGGAGCUUCCAUAACUGUCCAUUUAUCAUACACCUGAGCAUGGAGAGUCUGAGAUGCAGAAGCUGCGGCAGAUCUACUAUUGAAGAUGACAAUGGCAGCCCGCUGCUGUUUCUCAUGAAGGGUAGUCUUCUGUUCAGCCUCCAGUUUCGGCAGUAAUUCCUUAAUCUGCUCACUACAGUAUUCAAUUGUGUCAACCUUUUUACCAAUAAGACCAAGGAAUCCAGUCCUAUGAGUAGGCUUUGUGCCCUCAGGAUUACUUUCAGUUUUUGAGUUUGCAUAUAUGGCUUCAGCACGAGCAAUUUUCUGCUUGUGACCUUCGAUCUCUUGGUAUAUUUUAUCAGCCUGCAAUGCAAUGUGAUCAAAAUAGAAUAAACUUCUGUUUCUUUUUCUGUGGGAGUAUUUUUAGACAUGUCUUACAAGCAGACAUGAAAAACAUAACAAAAGGACAACGGGGAAGCAAUCCCUCCCUCUCUCUCUCUCUCUCUAUAUAUAUAUAUAUAUAUAUAUAUAUAUAUAUAUAUAUAUAUAUAGGAGUACGGAAAAUGCAUCAUAUAUAUAGUUUCAACAGUGGAAGUACCUUUGUGUGAUCUGUCACAACCAUUGAUCUGUAGAAAGUAUUUGGGUGAAGUGCUCGGAAAUAUGAGUCAACAAAGUCUUUUAUAGUUUCAUCUGGAGAUGAUCUAGGGAUAUCUCUCACCAACACCGCAAACUCCUCUGGUUUAACAUCUGGUGUUGACCUUGCAGUAGCUCUCAAAUUUGACACAUGCUUGUAGGAUUUCCAUAGGACGAAAUAGGUGACAAAGGAAACCCAAUAGACUGACAAAAGAAAUGCCCACAGCCUCAUACUUCCUUCCUGCAGAGGUUGUAAAGACAUGCAGAGAUCAGUUGUACUGUGAAUAAAACCACAUUCAAGACACUGGACACCUAAUAAUUAACAUAACCUUAUUGACACUUUUUCAUUGCAAACACGAGUUAGGCCUGGUUUAGUUCCCAAAAAAUUCAAGAUUCUCUGUCACAUCGAAUCUUUAGAUGCUUGCGUGAAGCAUUGAAUAUAGACAAAAACAAAAACUAAUUGCACAGUUUGCCUGUAAUUUACGAGACGAAUCUUUUGAGCCUAGCUAGUCCGUGAUUGGAUAAUAAUUGUCAAAUACAAACGAAAGUGCUACAGUAGGUAAAGCAAAAAAAUUUCGUGAACUAAACGAGACCUUACUGCAGAUAUUAAUGGUCCCAAGACAAUUUCAAUCAAGCUUACGGUUUCUUUGAGUUUCCAAAUAUCGGUAACAUACAAUUGUAAUUUGAGAAAGUCUUGAGAAAAAUCAAUACAAGCCAGUUGUCCAUGAAACUGUAACUUUCUUUUCCAAGCAGACUUAACUUUUUCUUUUUGAACAAAAGGCAGGAGCUCUGCCAAUCAAUUAAGAAGUAGGGAUUUAAAACACAACAAGCUGAAACUAGUUUGGUACUGAUCUGAGGAAGAAUGAUCACAAAUGCUCAGAUUCACUUCGACAUAAAAAAUAUAGAUGGGCCUCAUAAAAGAGUAAGUAGCAAGGAGAUUCUGUUACAAGUUGCUUUUUUUUGUUACUGAAAACGAAGUAACAACUACAAUUAGGAUGUUCAAGAGGUGAUGAACACUUAUUAAAUUGGUGCAUUUGCUCAUGUAAAUAAUUACAGCUAUGAUUAUGUGAUUAAUGACCUAGUAAUGAUAUGGUCUAGAUCAUGCUGUGGAUUGAACCAAAUGCUUCCGGAUUCAUCCAGGUGGUUUGGUGAAAGGGCCAUCUCAAUAGGCCACAAUACCGAUGCUGUGUAAUUGGGAGCAUCCUGUACUUAUUUUAUGCAACUACGACAAACCAUUAAAAGAUUACACACUUGUGAAAAAUCGCUAAACGAUUACUUACAGGAACAUUGCCCACUCCUAGCCUUUCAAUCGCCGAGAAGUCCUGAGUCGAUUCAGAUGAAUUGUUGGGAUUGGGAGGGAUGCCAACUAGGGCACCACCAGUUGCAGCAACUGGGAGGAGAACUGGAAGCAGCACAAUCCCAGAGUACACCAAGAUCGACAGCACUGGAACAUAAGGACAAAAUUUUAAAAAAGGUCAGAUUUUGUUAAUAUUUGCAGAAAAUUCGUCCAAAAAAUCUACCAAACCCCAACCAACAAAAUAUGAAUCCUAACUAAUAUUUUUCAACCGCCUGUCUCUCCUGCAAAAAUACUAGUAUAUGAGGGAAAGCAUCAAAGCAUGAUUGGAAAAACAGAGGAAUGAAUGCAGGGGCACUAUUAUAACACCACAAAAUCACACGAGAACAAAUAACUAAAAAAAAUCUUGCAAAUAGUUUUUUUUCCUCUCUAGAGCAAGAUACUAGUAACUAGUAGUGCGUAGCCGACAAAAUUAACGAAGCGCGGAACCAAAUAAGCACUGCCAAUCACCACCUUUUUUUUAUUUGAAAAAAAAUCCCCCCGAGCAAAAGGGGAAAAGAGAAGCAAGAAAGGGGAAGUGAGCUUGAGCCUGAGCAGGCACAGGCAGUACCAGAGGAGAGGAAGACGAGGUAGACGGCGGCGUCGACCCCGCCGGCGGCGACGACGUCAGGCUCCGACGCGGAGAUGGCGUCGCGGAUCCACCCGACGGGGCUCCGCGUGCCGCGCCCGCGGCCCUCCCACGGGUCGACCCCGCGGAGGAGGAGGUUGGGGUAGUACACGGGCGCGUUCCCGGGGCGGCGCGACAGCCAGGUGAACACCAGCACCAGCGCCACGAAGAUGACGAACGACGUCAGCACGGACGUGAUGAACGACGCGAGGUCCAUCCCGGCGGCACCGUGCCCUUGCUCCUGUUCCUUGAGGUUGAGGCACGCGGCUGGCCGGGGGCACUCCGGGCUUUAAUAAGCUCCGGAGGCUGUGGUAAGCGGCCGGCGGGGUUGGGGAAGGUGGUUUAGUGGUGGCGGGAGUGGUUAGUGAGGGGCAUUAGGGUGGGGAUUAAGAAGGGAGGGAGGCGGGG